This 392-nucleotide ribosomal RNA is filed under the name uncultured bacterium. RNAcentral's name for it is "bacterial SSU rRNA". It matches the Rfam family "Bacterial small subunit ribosomal RNA", at positions 28 to 419 of the family's 1533-position model. The record is from RNAcentral.
GACGAACGCUGGCGGCGUGCUUAACACAUGCAAGUCGAACGAUGAAGCUGGAGCUUGCUCCAGUGGAUUAGUGGCGAACGGGUGAGUAACACGUGAGCAAUCUGCCCUUGACUCUGGGAUAACUGCGGGAAACUGUAGCUAAUACCGGAUACGACACCUUGGGGCAUCCCGAGGUGUGGAAAGAAUUUCGGUCAAGGAUGAGCUCGCGGCCUAUCAGCUAGUUGGUGAGGUAAUGGCUCACCAAGGCGACGACGGGUAGCCGGCCUGAGAGGGUGACCGGCCACACUGGGACUGAGACACGGCCCAGACUCCUACGGGAGGCAGCAGUGGGGAAUAUUGCACAAUGGGCGCAAGCCUGAUGCAGCAACGCCGCGUGAGGGAUGACGGCCUGG